AGAUGGCUCAGUGGUUAAGAGCAUUAGCUGCUCUUCCAGAGGACCUGGGUUCAAAUCCCAGCAUCUA
This 67-nucleotide transfer RNA is filed under the name Neotoma lepida (desert woodrat). It matches the Rfam family "tRNA". Rfam says of the family: Transfer RNA (tRNA) molecules are approximately 80 nucleotides in length. Their secondary structure includes four short double-helical elements and three loops (D, anti-codon, and T loops). Further hydrogen bonds mediate the characteristic L-shaped molecular structure. tRNAs have two regions of fundamental functional importance: the anti-codon, which is responsible for specific mRNA codon recognition, and the 3' end, to which the tRNAs corresponding amino acid is attached (by aminoacyl-tRNA synthetases). tRNAs cope with the degeneracy of the genetic code in two manners: having more than one tRNA (with a specific anti-codon) for a particular amino acid; and 'wobble' base-pairing, i.e. permitting non-standard base-pairing at the 3rd anti-codon position. Lineage: Eukaryota; Metazoa; Chordata; Mammalia; Rodentia; Cricetidae. The record is from Rfam by way of RNAcentral.